This 1718-nucleotide small RNA is filed under the name Pan troglodytes (chimpanzee). RNAcentral's name for it is "processed transcript". Lineage: Eukaryota; Metazoa; Chordata; Mammalia; Primates; Hominidae. The record is from RNAcentral.
GCAGAAUUAUCCACGAGUUUUGAGCAGCCUCGGUUUUCCCACCACCUCCAAACCAUGCAAGACACAGGGUAAGAGCAAAGACAAGGUGGCUGUGGCCGAUGUCCACCCUCUCGGGGCGUCCUUUCUCUUCUCUCCUCCUUGGGCAGGGAGACCAUCGGGGUGCAACCUGGCUGGGGCGGGGAGGAGGUGCAGGGCCUGGCCGGAGCGGGCCUGGCCACGGCCAGGGGACAGCGACCGCCUAGGCCGGGGCAGGUGAGCGCGGCGCAGGCCCCGGCACGGCGUUUCCGCGGUGCGCGCGAGCGGCCAGCAGAGGGCGCCAGAGAGCCAGGAGCGGCCCACGGAGGAGCCCGCGCCGGCCCCGACGCCCAGCUCCGCGCCGCGCAGACCCACCGAGCCCGCGCUCAGACGCCCCAGCUCCGACGAGAGGCCGCUCGCGCCGGGUCCUUCCUCUUCCCCAAGUGCAGGCAGAGCCCCCGGAGCAAUGGCCAGUCCUUCCGGCAGCUCCGAAGACACUGGCAAGCCCCGAGGCAGGGAUGGCCGGCCCAGGAGGGAGGAGGACGACGUCCCUUCCGAGGGGAAGAGGCUGCGGCUGUUGCUGGAGGGGGGGAAGCGCACAGCCCGAGGACUGCGAGGACGGGGAGGACGCGCCGCGGCCGGGCAGGGAGGAGACCGGCACCCAGACAGGUGGCGACGGCAGAGGAGAACAGAGAAGUUGCCCAUGACUCUGUGAUCUGUUUUGUCCAAUGAACCAUGAGCAGGAGCAACUUGAGUCACCUCCAGGUGGAAGUGCUAAGAGGCUCUGUGAUCCACCACAUUCCCUUUCCCCUGAAGUGAUGAUCAAGGACACAUGCAGAGAUGGGACUUUUGUCAACCUGGAUCCCUGAGUGAACACAAUGAACAGACCACCCCACAAUGCCCUAACACAGCCCAGACAUGUAACAUGACCAAGAAUAAGCCUCACUGUGGCCAGACAUGGUGGCUCAUGCCUGUCAUCCCAGCACUUUGGGAGGCCAAGGCAGGUGGAUCAUUUGAGGUCAGGAGUUCAAGACCAGCCUGGCUAACAUGGUGAAAUCCUGUCUCUACUAAGCACAAAAAUUAGCCAGACAGUAGUGGAAUGGGCCUGUAAUCCCAGCUACUCAGGAGGCAGAGAAUCGCUUGAGUCUAGGAGGCAGAGGUUGCAGUGAGCUGAGAUUGCACCACUGCACUCUAGUCUGGGUGACAGAGUGAGACCCUGUCUCAAAAACAAACAAGCAAACAAAUACCUCACUGCAUGGAGCCACUGAGAUUUGGGGAUUGUUGUUACUGCACCAGAACCCAAAUCAUCCUGACCACUAGACUGUCCUAACUAGGGUUUCUUACCAAAAGCAAAGGCAUUUUUGAAGUUCGUGACAUUUAAACAAAAGAGCUUAUACCAAUAUCUGCCACUUUGUCAGGCUAACAAAUGCAAACAAAGCCAACAGCCAGAAGUUAAAAGAAACAGAUUAGGUUGAAAACAGAACUGUCAAAACAGGCAAAAUGGACUUCGUUUAGUGAUUGCAAAGAACAUCAGGCAAGACAUAGGUGUGGUCAUCACAUAAUUUAUCACAUGCUUAAUUGCACAUGUUUGACUAAGAAAAACACAAAGUAUUUAAGCUCAUCUGUAGUUCAAAGUGCCUAUCCGUGUAUUUAUCCAUUCAUCCUGAUUAAUUUAUUGAGCAACUCUUUUGUGCCAGGCACUG